RNAcentral lists this ribosomal RNA (460 nucleotides) under uncultured bacterium. Its description in RNAcentral is "partial 16S ribosomal RNA". It matches the Rfam family "Bacterial small subunit ribosomal RNA", at positions 338 to 795 of the family's 1533-position model. The record is from RNAcentral.
CCUACGGGAGGCAGCAGUGAGGAAUAUUGGUCAAUGGACGAGAGUCUGAACCAGCCAAGUAGCGUGAAGGAUGACUGCCCUAUGGGUUGUAAACUUCUUUUAUAUGGGAAUAAAAUGUUCCACGUGUGGGAUUUUGUAUGUACCAUAUGAAUAAGGAUCGGCUAACUCCGUGCCAGCAGCCGCGGUAAUACGGAGGAUCCGAGCGUUAUCCGGAUGUAUUGGGGUUAAGGGGAGCGUAGGUGGAUUGUUAAGUCAGUUGUGAAAGUUUGCGGCUCAACCGUAAAAUUGCAGUUGAAACUGGCAGUCUUGAGUACAGUAGAGGUGGGCGGAAUACGUGGUGUAGCGGUGAAAUGCUUAGAUAGCACGAAGAACUCCGAUUGCGAAGGCAGCUCACUGGACUGCAACUGACACUGAGGCUCGAAAGUGUGGGUAUCAAACAGGAUUAGAUACCCCAGUAGUC